RNAcentral lists this long non-coding RNA (884 nucleotides) under Homo sapiens (human). RNAcentral describes it as "HSALNT0136339". The record is from RNAcentral. Lineage: Eukaryota; Metazoa; Chordata; Mammalia; Primates; Hominidae.
GCCUCCUUGAGGUGUGGUGGGCUCCACCCAGUUCGAGCUUCCCAGCUGCUUUGUUUACCUAAGCAAGCCUGGGCAAUGGCGGGCGCCCCUCCCCCAGCCUUGCUGCCGCCUUGCAGUUUGAUCUCAGACUGCUGUGCUAGCAAUCAGCGAGACUCCGUGGGCGUAGGACCCUCCCAGCUAUGUGCGGGAUAUAAUCUCGUGGUGCGCCGUUUUUUAAGCCGGUCGGAGAAGCGCAAUAUUCGGGUGGGAGUGACCCAACUUUCCAGGGUAUGAGAAUGACUUUUUCAAUGAGACCAUUUCCAUUACAGUAACACCGAUGGAGCUGGUGGCCAUUAUCCUAAGCAAACUAACGCAGGAACAGAAAAUCCGAUGCCACAUAUUCUUACUCAUUAGUGGAAACUAAACAAUGAGAACACAUGAACACAAAGAGGAGAAGAAGACACCAGGGCCUACUUGAGGGUGGAGGGCAGCAGGAGGGAGAGCACCAAAAAACUACCUAUCUGGUAUUUUGCUUAUUAUCUGGCUGAUGAAAUAAUCUGUAGCCCAAAUCUCCAUGAUAUAGUUUACCUAUAUAACAAACCUGCACAUGUACCCUUAAAACUAAAAUUAAAGUCCACUAAAAAGAAAAGAAAAUGCCUUUUCCCUCACAUUUGCCAAUACUGGUUAUUUUUCAAAUAAAUUAAUGACUGGAAAAAAUGGUAACACAUUGUUUGCUGAUUUUCAUUCUUCUGAUUACCAGACAAGGCUGCAUAUCCUAGUAAAAGUAUAAAAUUUGUUCAUCAUGAAUAUUAGCCCAAAUUAGGAUUAGUUUGAAUGCACAUAGUUAUCUCCUGUUAAAUGUUGCCAUAGGCUUACCUAUGAUAUUCUUCAUUCUCUGUGCUAGG